GGAGGAUGCGAGCGUUAUCCGGAUUCAUUGGGUUUAAAGGGUGCGCAGGCGGAAUGAUAAGUCAGUGGUGAAAUCUCCCGGCUCAACCGGGAAACUGCCAUUGAUACUGCCAUUCUUGAGUACAGUUGAAGUGGGCGGAAUGUGUCAUGUAGCGGUGAAAUGCUUAGAUAUGACACAGAACACCGAUAGCGAAGGCAGCUCACUAAGCUGUAACUGACGCUCAUGCACGAAAGCGUGGGGAUCAAACAGGAUUAGAUACCCUGGUAGUCCACGCUGUAAACGAUGAUCACUCGUUGUUGGCGAUAUACUGUCAGCGACUGAGCGAAAGCAUUAAGUGAUCCACCUGGGGAGUACGGCGGCAACGUUGAA
This 369-nucleotide ribosomal RNA is filed under the name uncultured bacterium. RNAcentral describes it as "bacterial SSU rRNA". It matches the Rfam family "Bacterial small subunit ribosomal RNA", at positions 527 to 898 of the family's 1533-position model. The record is from RNAcentral.